GAUGAAUAACGCAGCGAAAUGCGAUAAGUAAUGUGAAUUGCAGAAUUCAGUGAAUCAUCGAAUCUUUGAACGCACAUUGCGCCCCCUGGUAUUCCGGGGGGCAUGCCUGUCCGAGCGUCAUUACAACCCUCAAGCUCUGCUUGGUAUUGGGCCCCGCCAGUUCUGGCGGGCCCUAAAGUCAGUGGCGGUGCCUUCCGGCUCCGAGCGUAGUAAUUCUUCUCGCUCUGGAGACCCGGUUGUGUGCUUGCCAACAACCCCCAAUUUUUUAAGGUUGACCUCGGAUCAGGUAGGGAUACCCGCUGAACUUAAGCAUAUCAAUAAGCGGAGGA
Molecule: unclassified non-coding RNA, 329 nt
Filed under: soil metagenome
Description: partial contains 5.8S ribosomal RNA, internal transcribed spacer 2, and large subunit ribosomal RNA
Rfam family: 5.8S ribosomal RNA (bases 1-120)
Source: RNAcentral